RNA transcript from Strigops habroptila (Kakapo), 3636 nucleotides. It is a transcript of the gene named threonyl-tRNA synthetase 3, with no coding region annotated. NCBI's taxonomy places the organism in Eukaryota, Metazoa, Chordata, Aves, Psittaciformes, Psittacidae. The record is from RefSeq and is a predicted model, not a curated record. The transcript has 19 exons.
GGAGCAGCUGAGCCGGGGGUGGUGUCGAGCACGUCCCGCCGUAGCGGGGCGGAGGGAAGACGCUGCCGCCGGGGGAAGAUGGCGGCUGCGGCCGCCGAGGUGGCGGUCUUACGGCUCUCGCGGCAGGAGCAGGAGCUGCGCUGGUUGACGGCGGAGGUCGCCCGGCUGAAGGGGCAGGAGGCGCCGGGCUGUCCCGCGAGCUGCAGCCCCGAGCUGCAGCGGCUGAGGGCCGAGAACGAGAAGCUGCGCUACCGCCUCCUGCACCUGCGCCGCAGUCUGGCGGCCGAGCUGGGCCGGGCAGCGCCGGCGGAGGCCCCGGCCGGUGGCGAGAAAGUCUCCAGUGCAAGUCCAGCUGUCGUGGUGACUCAAAAUAAAGAGGAAAAGAAAAAAGAAGCUGUGAACCUACAUCAGAAUGAUCUACAGCGUGAGCCAAGCUUCAUAGAAGACAGACUGAAGCUUUAUGAAGCACUGAAAAAAGAACACGAUGCUUUGCUAGCUUACAGAGUGGCCAACCAGAGCAAACCUAUCAAAAUUAUUCUGACAGAUGGAAAGGUGGCUGAAGGGGAGUCCUGGAAAACCACGCCAUAUCAAUUAGCUGUAGGAAUUAGUCAAGUGUUGGCUUCAGAUGCAGUCAUAGCGAAAGUGAAUGGUGAAUUGUGGGACCUGGAUCGUCCACUGGAAGGAGAUUGUACUCUGGAGCUGCUUAUGUUUGACAAUGAAGAAGCAAAAGCUGUUUACUGGCAUUCAAGUGCUCAUAUUCUUGGAGAGGCCAUGGAAGAUUAUUUUGGGGGCUGCUUAUGCUAUGGACCACCAAUUGAGAAUGGGUUUUAUUAUGACAUGUAUAUUGAAGAUAGAGAUGUAUCUAGUACUGAGUUCCCACUGCUAGAGAACCGCUGUAAAAAUAUAAUGAAAGAGAAGCAGGCUUUUGAAAGGCUAGAAGUCAAAAAGGAGAUCCUGUUAGACAUGUUUAAGUAUAACAAGUUUAAGUGUCGUAUCCUUAAUGAGAAGGUGAACACAGCAACUACCACAAUAUACAGAUGUGGUCCACUGAUUGAUCUCUGCAGGGGUCCACAUGUGAGACACACUGGAAAAAUCAAGGCCCUUAAAAUACUUAAGAAUUCUUCUACAUAUUGGGAAGGAAAAUCUGACAUGGAAACUCUGCAGAGAAUAUAUGGAAUAUCCUUUCCUGAUAAUAAAAUGAUGAAGGAAUGGGAAAAAUUCCAGGAAGAAGCCAGAAACCGGGAUCAUAGGAAAAUUGGAAAGGAACAAGAACUCUUCUUCUUUCAUGAUUUGAGUCCUGGAAGCUGCUUUUUCCUUCCCAGAGGUGCCCAUCUCUAUAAUACACUUGUGGAUUUCAUAAGAGAUGAAUAUUGGAGGCGUAAUUUUACUGAAGUUGUAUCUCCAAACGUCUUCAACAGUAAGCUCUGGGAAACUUCAGGACACUGGCAGCACUACAGUGAAAAUAUGUUCUCUUUUGAGAUUGAGAAGGAAACUUUUGCCCUUAAACCAAUGAAUUGUCCAGGACAUUGCUUGAUAUUUGCCCAUCGUCCGCGAUCCUGGAGAGAAAUGCCUCUUAGACUUGCAGAUUUUGGAGUUCUUCAUCGAAAUGAACUCUCUGGGACUUUAAGUGGCUUGACUCGUGUAAGGCGCUUCCAACAAGAUGAUGCUCACAUCUUUUGCACAAUAGAACAGAUUGAAGAAGAAAUUAAGAGCUGUCUUGAUUUCCUGAAGUCAGUGUAUGCUGUCUUUGGUUUUACCUUUCAACUCCAUCUUUCUACAAGACCAGAAAACUACCUAGGAGAGUUAGAGAUCUGGGAUCGUGCAGAAAAGCAACUUCAAAACAGCUUGAAUAACUUUGGAGGGCAAUGGAAUUUGAAUCCAGGAGAUGGAGCAUUUUAUGGUCCUAAGAUUGAUAUUAAAAUCAAAGAUGCUAUUGGCAGGUACCAUCAAUGUGCUACUAUCCAGCUUGACUUCCAACUACCCAUUCGAUUUAAUCUUACUUAUGUUGGUAAGGAUGGUGAUGAUAAGAAAAGACCAGUGAUUAUUCACAGAGCUAUUUUGGGAUCUGUGGAGAGAAUGAUAGCUAUUCUAGCUGAAAAUUAUGGAGGAAAAUGGCCAUUCUGGCUGUCUCCACGGCAGGUCAUGGUUGUGCCCGUGGGACCUACUUCGGAAGAGUAUGCCCAGCAGGUGAGAGUAGGGCCUUCCUUUUUAUAGUAGCAAGCAGUUUUUAAUAGCUCCUUAAGUAUUUGUCCUGGAAAAAAGAAUGAAUGCUUUAAUAAUUUUGGAGACGUAUUGGGGGGUGUAUGUGUGUGUAAAUUUUUCCAUAUAGUCUAAAAUGUGUGUAAGCCUGAGAUAGGGAUAUGUAACUUUAAGUGUUUUGGGUUCUGUAACUAUGUACAUACUUGAGCAAUUAUUAAAGAAAAAAAACAUUCUGGAUGACAGACCUUGUAUACUAACAGAAUUAUCUGCUUAAAGUAGGGGCAGAGCUGAUUUCUUCCAUUUCCCAGCAUGUAUACUCUUGACUACAUUAUAUUUGACCAUGGUUGGUUUUACCCCUCUCCCCUGCUUUUCCUUUAUUGCAAGCAUAAGUGGGUUUGUUCAUUCUCUUCUUUCUCAUUUCUCAGACUGAGGAAACAUUUCUGACAUUGCGCAGUGUAGCUGUCUGAGGAGAUCAGCAAAUACUUGAUAUGGAUGUUACCUUGUAUUGGCUUCCAACUGGAGUCCUGCUAAUCCCUUAAGUGUUUGCAGCAAAUUUUUUGAAGCAGGAUUUAUGUCAGAUGUGGAUCUAGAUCAAAGUUGCACAUUAAACAAGAAAAUUAGAAAUGCGCAGCUGGCCCAGUAUAACUUUAUCUUGGUGGUUGGAGAAAAGGAGAAAGCAAAUAAUGCUGUCAACGUGCGAACAAGAGACAACAAAGUUCAUGGAGAGAUUUCAGUGUCUUCUGCUAUUGAAAAACUCCAGAAAUUUAAGAGUUCACGUAUUCCAAAUGCAGAAGAAGAAUUCUGAUGUUGCCGUUAGGAAAAAUAAUUACUAGCUGCCCAUGCGAAAUGGUGUUUCUUUCCUCCUGUACAGCAGGAAUGCUCAUCUGAGAAUUUUCAGUUAAUGGAUACACAAAAUAGACACACGUAGCCAUGUUGGUGCUCCAGGAAUAGCAUGAGAGGACAGAUGGAACUGCCAGCUCCUUUAACAAUUGCAUAGGAUUCCAAUCUGCGAGUUGCAGAAUACUUAUUGUAAAAGUCCUACACCUCUGCUAAAAUAUGUUGGGUUUGCUACGGAAAUAAAUCAGGGCUUCAUGAGGAAUGGGAGGCAGGGAGGUGUACUGGCUGCUGCUGUGGCUGCCGAGCUACCUCAGUCACGUAGCGGUUGCAGAACUGAUUUGAGCUGGAAUCCAAAGCUUGGCAGGUGCAGCAGGAGCAUUUCGGUUUAUUUUUUUUUUUUCUAAGGCAGGAUUAUAUCAAAUUUCUUUAUGGAGGAGCGGUGGGGGAAAUAGCUUGGUUCUUCCUGAAUGCUUGUUCACGGGCUACAAGUACAUUAGUUUUGGUUGGAAAUGUAAGUGGUACAAUGCACUGAUUGAGUUGGUCUGAUAAUUGGUUCUUGUAAAGGUGAUUGCCAAGAAUGAAGUUGAAUUACUCACCAUA